UACGUAGGGUGCAAGCGUUGUCCGGAAUUAUUGGGCGUAAAGCGCGUGUAGGCGGUCCGGUAAGUCGGUUGUGAAAGUCCAGGGCUCAACCCUGGGAUGCCGACCGAUACUGUCGGACUAGAGUUCGGAAGAGGCGAGUGGAAUUCCCGGUGUAGCGGUGAAAUGCGCAGAUAUCGGGAGGAACACCAAUGGCGAAGGCAGCUCGCUGGGACGUUACUGACGCUGAGACGCGAAAGCGUGGGGAGCAAACAGG
RNAcentral lists this ribosomal RNA (253 nucleotides) under uncultured bacterium. RNAcentral describes it as "partial 16S ribosomal RNA". It matches the Rfam family "Bacterial small subunit ribosomal RNA", at positions 524 to 776 of the family's 1533-position model. The record is from RNAcentral.